This is a non-coding RNA of Triticum aestivum (bread wheat), 125 nucleotides long. NCBI's taxonomy places the organism in Eukaryota, Viridiplantae, Streptophyta, Magnoliopsida, Poales, Poaceae. The record is from Rfam.
AUCAUACUCCCUCCGUCUAGAAAUACAUGUCGGAGAAAUGAAUAAAAAUGGAUAUAUCUAGAACUAAAAUACGUCUAGAUACAUCCAUUUCUUCGACAAGUAUUUUCAGACAGAGGGAGUAUAUA